Molecule: long non-coding RNA, 1117 nt
Filed under: Chlamydomonas reinhardtii
Lineage: Eukaryota; Viridiplantae; Chlorophyta; Chlorophyceae; Chlamydomonadales; Chlamydomonadaceae
Description: long non-coding RNA (CREI_LNC000589)
Source: RNAcentral
GUCAGUGUUAUCCAUUCCUUUCAUGCGGAACAUGCCCUGCAAUUACUGGCGCCUGCACACGGACACGACAAACAUGCGCAUGCUUGCACCGCAACACCAGCCCUUGCGGCAAACUUUGCAUUUCUGGUCAUAGGCAGGCCGAUUCGCAGGCGCGUGAGGCAUCGGCUUGGCUGGGCGUGGGUUCCGAAGCGGUACGUGUGGAGUCACGCAGCACAGUGGAACGUGGCGGGGUUUAACUGGGUUUGUCGUUCUUGCCGGUUUGUCGCUAUGAUGCUGUUGCUGCCGCUGAAUGUGGCGAUAGGCGUUGCCAUUUGCUACGUGCAAAAGGCAGAAGUAGCUUGGGGACACAACUAAGAGGCGCAUAACCCGCCAGGGAGGAGGAGGGGAGCACAGGUUGGGAACCAUGAGACAGACGGGGUCAUGUGUGCGGGGCUGGAUUCCAAGGAACUGCGCUCGUGUUACCAUGGAGGCUCCAGUUUAGAGCCUUUGAAGGGGCAGCAUGGACGCAAGUGUGUUAAUAGGGCAAGCCGGCAAGGCCAUUCUCGGGCCGCCUCCCGGGCAAGUGCUCCAUCUUUUGAUGCCACAUGCGAGCGGGUGCCAAGUCACGCUCUCCUUGGCCCCGCCCAGUGUUCGAAAACCACUCCGCGUAUCGGCGUAUGUAUGCAUAUACAAUUUACCUUGAUUAUACCGUAUGCUGCUUACGAACAUAGCUGUGUCUCCUUAUUGUCCUGAAACUGUGACAGCCAAGCAAAAUUACAUCACAACCUUGUACAUCCGUGCCUCAUUCGCACAUAAAAGUGCCGCCUGCGCGGCUGCACCAAGCUGCAUUCGAUCCUCCUGCUAUUGCAUUACCGUUGUGACUAUCCCCUAGCUGACGCAAUAUCUCAAAAACGCACCACCCAAAACACAAGCGGUGCGGGGCGCUAGAGCGCACCGCCGCAUCACAUGGCGUAUGUGCAUGUGACGUAUGUGCAUGUGCAUAUGCACCCAGAACCAAUGCUAUGUGGUCUCUGCAUCAAUACGUCACUAUUGUAACAUCUGCUGCUCUCACUACUGCUGCAGCUGCUGCUCCUGCACCGGCGACCUGUACAGCGGCGGCGACAGAGGCGACACGCCC